UGAUGCAGCGACGCCGCGUGAGGGAUGACGGCUUUCGGGUUGUAAACCUCUUUUAUCCACCACGAAGGCCACGUAUUCGCCUGGUUGACGGUAGUGGUUGAAUAAGCGCCGGCUAACUACGUGCCAGCAGCCGCGGUAAGACGUAGGGCGCGAGCGUUGUCCGGAUUUAUUGGGCGUAAAGGGCUCGUAGGCGGCCCGCUGCGUCUGCCGUGAAAGGCCUCGGCUUAACCGGGGUUUUGCGGUGGAUACGGGCGGGCUUGAGGCAAGUAUGGGAAACUGGAAUUCUACGUGUAGCGGUGAAAUGCGCAGAUAUGUGGAGGAACACCGGUGGCGAAGGCGGGUUUCUGGGCUUGUUCUGACGCUGAGGAGCGAAAGCGUGGGGAGCGAACAGGAUUAGAUACCCUGGUAGUCCAUGCUGUAAACGGUGGGCGCUAGGUGUGGGGCCACGUUGGUUGGUUCUGUGCCGUAGCUAACGCAUUAAGCGCCCCGCCUGGGGAGUACGGCCGC
RNAcentral lists this ribosomal RNA (507 nucleotides) under uncultured Glycomyces sp. RNAcentral describes it as "bacterial SSU rRNA". It matches the Rfam family "Bacterial small subunit ribosomal RNA", at positions 384 to 889 of the family's 1533-position model. Lineage: Bacteria; Bacillati; Actinomycetota; Actinomycetes; Glycomycetales; Glycomycetaceae. The record is from RNAcentral.